UACGUAGGGGGCAAGCGUUAUCCGGAUUUACUGGGUGUAAAGGGAGCGUAGACGGCAGUGCAAGUCUGGAGUGAAAGGCGGGGGCUCAACCCCCGGACUGCUCUGGAAACUGUACGGCUGGAGUGCAGGAGAGGUAAGUGGAAUUCCUAGUGUAGCGGUGAAAUGCGUAGAUAUCGAGAGGAACACUCGUGGCGAAGGCGGGUUCCUGGACAUUAACUGACGCUGAGGCACGAAGGCCAGGGGAGCGAAAGGG
Molecule: ribosomal RNA, 253 nt
Filed under: uncultured Eubacteriales bacterium
Lineage: Bacteria; Bacillati; Bacillota; Clostridia; Eubacteriales
Description: uncultured Clostridiales bacterium partial 16S ribosomal RNA
Rfam family: Bacterial small subunit ribosomal RNA
Source: RNAcentral